AAUAAUCUUUUAGAAGGGCCCCAUCUAUUAAUUUUGCCUAGGGCCCCCACUUCAUCUUUGUUCGCCUCUGGGUGUGACAGAACAGGUCAGAACAGGCUUUUGCUUCUUUCACUUUUGAAACAGGCUUUUUUUGCGUUAGAUCCUCUCAUGUACAAAAUGUUUUUAUUUUGAGAUUUUCAAACAGUUGAUAUUUUAUUGCUUCAUUUCAUGUUUUGUUCAUUCUCUGCAGUAUGGCCAGGAGACCAACAGGUCAGUAAAUUCAACUUUCUACAUUAUUUAAAAUAUUUGUAAGAACAAUAUAUAAUAUAAAUAAUAUAACUAUAUAAUUGUAUAUGUGUGUGUGUGUGUGUGUGUGUGUGUGUGUGUGUGUGUGUGUGUGUAUAUAUAUAUAUAUAUAUGUUAAAUGACACUUUGAAACAUUAAGGAGAUAAAUCAGUGUAUAAAUUUUAGGGUUAAAUGUAGAAAUCUGGCUGUCGUCACACUGUUUUAUUUUCUUAUUACUCCUCUCUUGAAUAAUGAUGACGAAGCUGGCUGCUCUAGAGGAUCCAAUGAUCAGCUGAGGUUUAUGGUGCUUGGAGGUGAUGAUGAUCUUAUGGAUAAAGCAUGUGGCACAAUCCUGGGAGAAAGAAGGAACAGGGAUGCAUUUAAAUUUGGAGAAUUGAAGCCCAGGAAGGCUCGAGUUUGUGGACGACAGGUUUCUGUAUUAAAAACUCCGUCAUAUUGGCUGGAACACUUGGAAUCAUACUUCAUUCUCAGCAAUGGAGUUAAAUCUCUGAAAAUUGACCUGCAGUACUUUGAAUUGCUGUUGUUUCCAGGGCCUCAUGCCUUUCUGUUAGUACACAGAGAUGUGAAAAACUCUGGUAGUGAGUAUUAUCUUAUAAAAGCUCUCAGCGAUGUGUUCGGGAAUGAGGUCUUGGACUACUGCAUGGUAUUAUUUAUAGAUGAGGCUAGGCACAAUGAUCCAAUAAAGAACACCUGUUUGAAGAUGUGUGGAGGCAGAUACCACAUCUUACAGAACACUGACGAAAGUCUUAAUCUGUUAUUUAAAAAAACAGAGGCAAUGACACAGUGGAAAAGCAGCAAUUGUUUCACAAAUAAUUGGGAAAUUUUCAGAAUAGCUGAAAAUUAUUUUGAAGUGGAGUAUAAGAAAGAGGAGAAUAAACUGAGGAAAGAAUUGGCAGAAAAUAAACAAAUUGUUGAAAAUCUAAAGAAGGAAAUUGAUGAUAUGAAAGAAUUAGAUUCAAAGAAAGAUACAAGAAUCAAGGAUGAGCUAAAUAAACUGGCUGAGUCAAAAGACAGAGUAAAAAAGCUACCGAGUGAGUUGGAUGCUCUCAAAACCCAGAUGAAGGAGAAGCUAAAACAAGAGAUAAUCAUUCACAAAGACAGAGAAAAACAGCUACGCAGUGAGUUGGAUGCUCUCAAAAGCAGUGAAAACCAGAAGGAGGAGGACUUACAGAAGCUAAAACAAGAGCUGACCGUUUACAAAGACAAAGAGAGACACUUAAAAGAUGAAAGAAUUAAACUUCAGAGAGACAAAGAGAAACUUCAGAGAGAAGUGGAACAGCUCAAGGACAAUAAAAAACAGUAAUCUGACCACAACAAAAGUUAAAGAACCGUUUCUAUCUUUCAAAUUACAAUCAGAAUAUGAUAUGAUCCAGAGAGAGGAAGAAGUACAAGUCAAAGAAAAAUGAGCUGCGUGAGAAAGAGAGAGAAAUGGAUAGAAGAGUCAAGGAAUUGGAUAAAAGAGAGAGAAAUCUGGAUGAAUGAGAGAAGCAGCUGGAGAUCAGAGAGAGAGAGAAGUGAAACAGAAAUCCUGGAUCUAGUGAACACUGAAGGAGUGGAAUCCUGGAUUCAUCACGGCCUUCAUAAAAUAUAUUAAUUAUCCUUUUUCGUGAUUAUUGAUCAAGUUAUUAAUCAGUAUUUAGCCUCAUAGAUUGUUAGUUGAUUGAAUAAAAUUAUUAUUUACCAUACA
This is a long non-coding RNA of Cyprinus carpio (common carp), 1972 nucleotides long. The record is from Ensembl. Lineage: Eukaryota; Metazoa; Chordata; Actinopteri; Cypriniformes; Cyprinidae.